Ataeniobius toweri is the source of this 119-nucleotide non-coding RNA. The record is from the annotation of a GenBank genome assembly. Lineage: Eukaryota; Metazoa; Chordata; Actinopteri; Cyprinodontiformes; Goodeidae.
GCGAUCGUGGUAUAGUGGUGAGCAUAGCUGCCUGGGCCAGCCGCACAUAGGUGUAGAACACUGAUUGUCAGUAAGACCGUGCUCGCUGUCUGACAUGGGUUCGAAUCCCGGUUAUGGCA